This 505-nucleotide ribosomal RNA is filed under the name uncultured bacterium. RNAcentral describes it as "partial 16S ribosomal RNA". It matches the Rfam family "Bacterial small subunit ribosomal RNA", at positions 28 to 507 of the family's 1533-position model. The record is from RNAcentral.
GACGAACGCUGGCGGCGUGCCUAAUACAUGCAAGUAGAACGCACAGUUUAUACCGUAGCUUGCUACACCAUAGACUGUGAGUUGCGAACGGGUGAGUAACGCGUAGGUAACCUGCCUGGUAGCGGGGGAUAACUAUUGGAAACGAUAGCUAAUACCGCAUAAUAUUGAUUAUUGCAUGAUAAUUAAUUGAAAGGUGCAAUUGCACCACUACCAGAUGGACCUGCGUUGUAUUAGCUAGUAGGUGAGGUAACGGCUCACCUAGGCGACGAUACAUAGCCGACCUGCGAGGCUGCUCGGCCACACUGGGACGGAGACACGGCCCAGACUCCUACGGGAGGCAGCAGUAGGGAAUCUUCGGCAAUGGACGAAAGUCUGACCGAGCAACGCCGCGUGAGUGCCGAAGGUUUUCGGAUCGUAAAGCUCUGUUGUAAGAGAAGAACGGGUGUGAGAGUGGAAAGUUCACACUGUGACGGUAGCUUACCGGAAAGGGACGGCUAACUACGUG